RNAcentral lists this ribosomal RNA (449 nucleotides) under uncultured bacterium. RNAcentral's name for it is "partial 16S ribosomal RNA". It matches the Rfam family "Bacterial small subunit ribosomal RNA", at positions 29 to 523 of the family's 1533-position model. The record is from RNAcentral.
AACGAACGCUGGCGGCAGGCUUAACACAUGCAAGUCGAGCGCAUCCUUCGGGGUGAGCGGCAGACGGGUGAGUAACGCGUGGGAACGUACCCUUUCCUACGGAAUAGCUCCGGGAAACUGGAAUUAAUACCGUAUAAGCCCUUAGGGGGAAAGAUUUAUCGGGGAAGGAUCGGCCCGCGUUGGAUUAGCUAGUUGGUGGGGUAACGGCCUACCAAGGCGACGAUCCAUAGCUGGUCUGAGAGGAUGAUCAGCCACAUUGGGACUGAGACACGGCCCAAACUCCUACGGGAGGCAGCAGUGGGGAAUAUUGGACAAUGGGCGCAAGCCUGAUCCAGCCAUGCCGCGUGAGUGAUGAAGGCGUUAGGGUUGUAAAGCUCUUUCAGUAGGGAAGAUAAUGACGGUACCUACAGAAGAAGCCCCGGCUAACUUCGUGCCAGCCGCCGCCGUAA